This 457-nucleotide ribosomal RNA is filed under the name uncultured Cellulomonas sp. RNAcentral describes it as "bacterial SSU rRNA". It matches the Rfam family "Bacterial small subunit ribosomal RNA", at positions 924 to 1382 of the family's 1533-position model. Lineage: Bacteria; Bacillati; Actinomycetota; Actinomycetes; Micrococcales; Cellulomonadaceae. The record is from RNAcentral.
CACAAGCGGCGGAGCAUGCGGAUUAAUUCGAUGCAACGCGAAGAACCUUACCAAGGCUUGACAUACACCGGUAACGCCCAGAGAUGGGUGCCCCUUUGUGGUCGGUGGACAGGUGGUGCAUGGUUGUCGUCAGCUCGUGUCGUGAGAUGUUGGGUUAAGUCCCGCAACGAGCGCAACCCUCGUCCUAUGUUGCCAGCGGGUCAUGCCGGGGACUCAUGGGAGACUGCCGGGGUCAACUCGGAGGAAGGUGGGGAUGACGUCAAAUCAUCAUGCCCCUUAUGUCUUGGGCUUCACGCAUGCUACAAUGGCCGGUACAAAGGGCUGCGAUACCGCGAGGUGGAGCGAAUCCCAGAAAGCCGGUCUCAGUUCGGAUUGGAGUCUGCAACUCGACUCCAUGAAGUUGGAAUCGCUAGUAAUCGCGGAUCAGCACGCCGCGGUGAAUACGUUCCCGGGCCUU